UGAUCCUGGCUCAGAUUGAACGCUGGCGGCAGGCCUAACACAUGCAAGUCGAACGGUAACAGGAUAGCUUGCUAUCGCUGACGAGUGGCGGACGGGUGAGUAAUACUUAGGGAUCUGCCUCUGUGUGGGGGAUAACUAUUGGAAACGAUAGCUAAUACCGCAUAAUGUCUACGGACCAAAGCGGGCUUCGGCUCGUGCGCAGAGAGGAACCUAAGCGAGAUUAGCUAGUUGGUGAGGUAAAGGCUCACCAAGGCGACGAUCUCUAGCUGUUCUGAGAGGAAGAUCAGCCACACUGGAACUGAGACACGGUCCAGACUCCUACGGGAGGCAGCAGUGGGGAAUAUUGCACAAUGGGGGAAACCCCGAUGCAGCCAUGCCGCGUGUGUGAAGAAGGCCUUCGGGUUGUAAAGCACUUUCAGUUGUGAGGAAAGUUUAGUAGUUAAUACCUGCUAGAUGUGACGUUAGCAACAGAAGAAGCACCGGCUAACUCCGUGCCAGCAGCCGCGGUAAUACGGAGGGUGCGAGCGUUAAUCGGAAUUACUGGGCGUAAAGCGCACGCAGGCGGUCUGUUAAGCUAGAUGUGAAAGCCCCGCGCUCAACGUGGGAGGGUCAUUUAGAACUGGCAGACUAGAGUCUUGGAGAGGGGAGUGGAAUUCCAGGUGUAGCGGUGAAAUGCGUAGAGAUCUGGAGGAACAUCAAUGGCGAAGGCAACUCCCUGGCCAAAGACUGACGCUCAUGUGCGAAAGUGUGGGUAGCGAACAGGAUUAGAUACCCUGGUAGU
Molecule: ribosomal RNA, 781 nt
Filed under: uncultured marine bacterium
Lineage: Bacteria
Description: bacterial SSU rRNA
Rfam family: Bacterial small subunit ribosomal RNA
Source: RNAcentral